GACGAACGCUGGCGGCGUGCUUAACACAUGCAAGUCGAACGGAAAGGCCCUGCUUUUGUGGUGUGCUCGAGUGGCGAACGGGUGAGUAACACGUGAGUAACCUGCCCUUGACUUUGGGAUAACUUCAGGAAACUGGGGCUAAUACCGGAUAGGAGCUCCUGCUACAUGGUGGGGGUUGGAAAGUUUCGGCGGUUGGGGAUGGACUCGCGGCUUAUCAGCUUGUUGGUGGGGUAGUGGCUUACCAAGGCUUUGACGGGUAGCCGGCCUGAGAGGGUGACCGGCCACAUUGGGACUGAGAUACGGCCCAGACUCCUACGGGAGGCAGCAGUGGGGAAUAUUGCACAAUGGGCGGAAGCCUGAUGCAGCAACGCCGCGUGCGGGAUGACGGCCUUCGGGUUGUAAACCGCUUUCGCCUGUGACGAAGCGUGAGUGACGGUAAUGGGUAAAGAAGCACCGGCUAACUACGUG
RNAcentral lists this ribosomal RNA (468 nucleotides) under uncultured bacterium. Its description in RNAcentral is "partial 16S ribosomal RNA". It matches the Rfam family "Bacterial small subunit ribosomal RNA", at positions 28 to 507 of the family's 1533-position model. The record is from RNAcentral.